This 68-nucleotide transfer RNA is filed under the name Sphyraena japonica (Japanese barracuda). RNAcentral's name for it is "tRNA-Ser". Lineage: Eukaryota; Metazoa; Chordata; Actinopteri; Sphyraenidae. The record is from RNAcentral.
GAGAGAGGCUCGAUAGCACCGAAAGCUGCUAACUUUCAUGACCUUGGUUAGACCCCAGGGCUCACUCG